CCAGGCGAAACAAAUAGUUCGGCAGAGAAUUAAGUUUAGAGAAGCCAGACAAACUUUACACAAUUUGUGUUAGAACAUUAAAGGCUUUGAGAAGCCUUUCAGUAAAGAAACCCGUUUAAUUUGUUUAGCCCGAUGUAUUCCCAAUUUGCUUGUAUUUUGUUUGUCUGUUUUCUAGCACAUUCAUAGCACCUUGUUGAACACAAGUGUUGACAGCUACAUAUGCACUGAGCCUGGGGGCCUGGGGGCUGGGGUUAGACAGGCCUGCUCGCCACCUGCCACUCAGCAGGUGUGUGAUCUUGAGCAGGUCCCUCAGCCGGUGGGAUUCUCAGCUUCCGAUUUGUAAGAUGCACUUACAGCUGACUGCGCUGCAUUGUAAGGGAUGAAUAACACAACAUGGACUCACCCGCCUGGCCCCUGUGGGUGCCUGGACCUAGUCCACCCCGACCCUUGCCCUGGCACUCCCGUGUGCUGGCAGACACGCCCAGUGCUCCUGGCUCGGGUAGGUAACGGCAGCUACAAGGAAACAAAGAACGUACCUGGUCAGUGGCUGCCACCCCCACGCUCCUAUGCAGGAGCCCUGAUGUUCUUCUGUUUCCGUGGAUUGGAAGAAGUCAGUUUGAGAGAGCACGCUUCUGCUUCCGGCAGUUUUAUUUUCUUUUAUAUCAAACAUCUUGUAUCAUCUACUCAUUUCCAGCUGGAGAUCUGGGAACCUUGCCAUCCUUGAAUGUGCGUGCUGAGUUUUGUUUUGGUUUGGUUUCUUACCGAGCACCAGCUUCCUCUGCUGCCUGAACAGCUGUGUUUGGUUUUUGGCAAGCGUCUCCUGGAGCUUAGAACUGCCUCCCCGGGAAAACUCAAGUUUCUUGAAUGACAAAAAUCUUGGAAAAUUUGCUUCUUGCCGCUGAGAAGUAAUCUGUAACCAUAUAUCCUUGAUGCUAAUAAAUACAAGAAAAUCCUA
Equus caballus (horse) is the source of this 955-nucleotide non-coding RNA. The record is from RefSeq and is a predicted model, not a curated record. Lineage: Eukaryota; Metazoa; Chordata; Mammalia; Perissodactyla; Equidae.